RNAcentral lists this ribosomal RNA (253 nucleotides) under uncultured bacterium. Its description in RNAcentral is "partial 16S ribosomal RNA". It matches the Rfam family "Bacterial small subunit ribosomal RNA", at positions 524 to 776 of the family's 1533-position model. The record is from RNAcentral.
UACGUAGGGUGCAAGCGUUGUCCGGAAUUAUUGGGCGUAAAGAGCUCGUAGGCGGUCUGUUGCGUCGGCUGUGAAAACCCGGGGCUCAACUCCGGGCCUGCAGCCGAUACGGGCAGACUAGAGUUCGGCAGGGGAGACUGGAAUUCCUGGUGUAGCGGUGAAAUGCGUAGAUAUCAGGAGGAACACCGGUGGCGAAGGCGGCCCUCUGGACGGUGACUGACGCUGAGACGCGAAAGCGUGGGGAGCAAACAGG